RNAcentral lists this transfer RNA (92 nucleotides) under Aquiflexum balticum DSM 16537. RNAcentral's name for it is "tRNA_Ser_GCT". It matches the Rfam family "tRNA". From Rfam's summary of the family: Transfer RNA (tRNA) molecules are approximately 80 nucleotides in length. Lineage: Bacteria; Pseudomonadati; Bacteroidota; Cytophagia; Cytophagales; Cyclobacteriaceae. The record is from RNAcentral.
AGAGAGUUGGGUGAGUGGCUUAAACCAGCAGUUUGCUAAACUGUCGUACGUGUCAAAGCGUACCGGGGGUUCGAAUCCCCCACUCUCUGCGA